Long non-coding RNA from Lathyrus oleraceus (garden pea), 1889 nucleotides. RefSeq lists it as uncharacterized. The record is from RefSeq and is a predicted model, not a curated record. The transcript has 7 exons. Lineage: Eukaryota; Viridiplantae; Streptophyta; Magnoliopsida; Fabales; Fabaceae.
UCCCAAUCUCACUUUCACAAAAAUCAACCUCUCAGCCUCAUGUCUCUCUCGUCAAAACCCAUUCUCCACGAAUCUCUCUCUCAAUCGCGCUUCUCUCAAUCUCACGUUUCUCUCUCUCACGUUUCUCUCACCCUCAAUCAUUCAUCUAUCAGCUACUCUCUCAAUCUAAAAUGCAAGGAUCCAUGGUUUUAAGGAGAAACAAAAAGAAAGAAGCUCACCUUCGGCGACGACGACUCAGGGUUUUUGAUUUGGUAUGGUGGAGUCCAAAAGAGUAUCUCUGCAAACUACUUUUGAUGUGCUCAGAAUCGGAUUGUCCUGUUUGAUGCUUGUUCUUGGAACGUGAAAAGAUUAGUGAAAACUCAAGAGCGGUUUCGGUUUUCGCACGGCCUUGUUGGUGCGACUUCAUUGGGAAUUUGUUGCAGGUUGAUUCAAAUUCAAUGGUCUGGUGGAUGGUAGCAUUGUGGAUGGAAAACUUGAUGAGUUGUUUUGGGGAGAACGAGAACAUUGAUACUGCUUAUCCGGAAUUAAGUUUACAUUGGGAAUUCUUCGGAUGUCGAAGGUUGGAUAACAGAGCUUCUCGCAACAUUCUCAGAGGAUCCUUUAGUUCUCUUUUUUUUUGUCUUCCAGAGUGAGAAGCAUCUGAUGGUGUUGGCUUGGUAGGCUGAGAAACAACACAGGUUUGCAGUGCAUGAAGGUUUGUUGUCAUUUCAGACGAGAUCGGUCCAUCCAGAGAAUUCUGGCUCAAAUUCAAUGUAGACAACUUUUUGCAAUUGUGAAAUUUGAAUCGGAAUAGUACCAUUAAGCUUGUUCAUCAAGACUUGAAGACUGAUAAGAUUUCCAAAUUCUGGUGGCAAUGCACCAGUCAAUUGAUUCUCAGCCAAACUCAUCAAGGCCACUUUCUUACAAGAACCUGAUUCGGGAGGUAUCAAACCUGUCAUCUGAUUAUUAUCCAGCUCUAUGGACGUCAAAUUAUGUCCGGCUUCAUUGCAGGUACAGGCCCUUGCAACCUGACUGUGCAAAGCUAGAUCUUCUCUCUAUCUGACAUGUUGGAUAACUGAUCCAAUGGCCACGGAUGAUCCAAUAACAACUUGUAACAUUACAUAUGAAUUCAGUCUGUAGGGUCAAAACAAAGCUUAGCCUCGUCCCAAGGUCCAUUGAUCUCAAACCUGUACUCCUAUAGCGAGAAUAACAUGAUGGCAAACACAUGUAGUCUUGAUGGAAGACGAGAAGCAAUAAAAAUGGAGGCGACCACAGAAGCAUUUGCGGAUAUACAACUGGUUAAUGCAAGAUUCUUCAGAACCCCCCGGAGUUUAACAGAAUGGAUUUUGAGUAUGACAUAUUCUUGGGAGCUACAUCCUUAGAACCUGUACCGUGCAACCGGUCCCUUGAUGUAUGCUUGUAUUGUUCUUGCAACAUCUGCUUCUCUCCACGAACGUUGCCUUUGAAGUUCUUGCAUCCGGUUGAGCAUUACGUGUUGUUUGUAAAAGCUGCAUUUCACUCUUUUUAAUUUCAACCAUUAGUUCCCUCUUUUAUGGAUGUACAUGCUGCAAUAUAAUGGUUAUGACAUGAAUUUGAUCUUAUGAUGCUGUUGGUUUAGACAUUGUGUUGCUGUUUUGGUUUUUCUUGCAGGCUUCCUGUGUUCAGCCCCAAAAUCAAAGGGUGUCGCAAGCUUUUUGUUAUCAUUGUAAGUCAGAUAAGCUGUUGUUAUCAGCGCAGAACGAAUUGCAGUUGGGCUCUAAUCUGGAUGGAUGGACAUGAUUAAAGCUGCUAUCCCACUGACAUGAGGGCAUGCCAUGGACGUGGCUGAGUAUAUGUUAAAGUCGACACCCCUUCUUUGAAGUUGAUUAGGUUGUAGCUUGAUGAACUCUAGCUCUUCUCUCUUUUUUUUA